RNAcentral lists this ribosomal RNA (627 nucleotides) under Gelis sp. LMM-2014. RNAcentral's name for it is "eukaryotic LSU rRNA". It matches the Rfam family "Eukaryotic large subunit ribosomal RNA", at positions 403 to 774 of the family's 3401-position model. The record is from RNAcentral. Lineage: Eukaryota; Metazoa; Arthropoda; Insecta; Hymenoptera; Ichneumonidae.
AACCGUUCAGGGGUAAACCUGAGAAACCCGAAAGAUCGAAUGGGGAGAUUCAUCGUCAGCGAUUUUGGUACGUGUGCGGUUCGCGAUGUCGGAGGCUUCGGUCUCAUGGCACGCGUCCGCAUGUUUUUUAUUGCCUGAAUCGUCGGCGUGCACUUCUCCCCUAGUAGGACGUCGCGACCCGUUGGGUGUCGGUCUACGGCCCGGGUGGUAGCCUGUUUCGUGUUCGCUUCACGGCGUUACGCGGGGCAGACCCCUGUGUGUCUGGCCGACUGCCCGGCGGUACUCGCACGGUAUCUGGCCGCAAAUAUUCGAACUGCGUCCGGCCCGUCGCAAGCGAGGCAAGUGUUUCCCGGCUGUACGGAUCUAAUGCCGUCACCGGGCCUUGCCAGCUGUUGGUUGACGGUGUCCUAGGACUGGCCAAUAAAAUUAUGAUACCGGUCGGCGACGCUACUGCUUUGGGUACUUUCAGGACCCGUCUUGAAACACGGACCAAGGAGUCUAACAUGUGCGCGAGUCAUUGGGAUCUAUUAAGCCUAAAGGCGCAAUGAAAGUGAAGGUCGGCCUUGCGCCGACCGAGGGAGGAUGGGCCGCGUCACGAUGCGGUCCCGCACUCCCGGGGCGUCUCGU